RNAcentral lists this unclassified non-coding RNA (4627 nucleotides) under Neodiprion lecontei (redheaded pine sawfly). RNAcentral describes it as "plasma membrane calcium-transporting ATPase 3, transcript variant X13". The record is from RNAcentral. Lineage: Eukaryota; Metazoa; Arthropoda; Insecta; Hymenoptera; Diprionidae.
AGAAAGAAAGACUGUAAGUAGAAGCGUGAAAGAAAGAAAGGAGGAGGGACAGGGCGAGUGGGAGAAAGAGAAAGCAACCAGAGUGGGGCUGCGCGAUCUUGUCGGCGCCUGCGUCUCUAUGUAUGAGUGCAAGUGGCGCCGCUACCGACUUGUGUGUAUGUGAGAAAGCAGGCAAGCCAACCAAGUUGAGACGUCGUUGUGGCCCCGCGGCAGCGAUUACACUUCGGGCACCACGUCCCGGUCGGAGCGCAGUGUGUUUGCGCGUAGAAGAAUCAGUGGCCGGCGCCCCGGUGUGUACAGGGUUUUAUGAUUCCGAGAGUGAUUGACAGCAGGUGAAUAUUGGCGCCCGUGUCCGCCCUUAAUUCACACGUUACAUCCGCCGCUUAUACUUGGGCAAAUACAUAUUUGGGAGAUAAUAAAGGCGCGAGAUUAAAAGAAAAUUAAUAAUAUAUCACUAAGAAUAACACCUAUAACAAUAACGAUAAUAGUAACAACAACAACAACAAUAAUAAUAAUAUUAAUAAUAAUAAUAAUAAUAAUAAUAAAUAAGGAAAGCAUAGACACAUAUAUAACGUUCUUCCAUAGGACUGGAUUUCACUACGCAACCGACCAACCACACCAAGUCCAUCCAUCCUCUCUCAACUGCAGGCAUUCUCAUUCUCUUUAUAAUUGAAUGUCAAAAUUAUCGAUGAUCCGGUAAAUGCACCAACGUUAUAACAAUCGUCGUCAUUAUCAUAAUCAUUAUCGUAAUCAUCGUUGUCAUCAUUAUCAUAAUCAUCAUCACGAUCAUCGUUAUAACCGUUACUACCACCAUCGUCAGCAUCUUCGUAAUCAUAUACAAUCACAAACUUAAAAGGUUAUACGCACCAACAACCUACCAAUUAAAACCGUCGAUAUAGUGUUUCGCUUAACUAUUCGUGACGUCCUGACAACGUGCCGAUUACAGCAAGUUUUUAAAACACCGGCUACCAACGAGGAGAGCACUGGAUUAACUUGCAAUAGAAACCUACGACAACCACGAGAUUUUGGACCUCCAGUUACUUGGAGGCUACGCAAGUAGCGACAACGAAGCAAUAGCAGGAGUGGGUCAGCUUUGGGUAACUACCCAGCUGUUGGCGUGAGCCAACCAGAUCAGCGAAGCAAAAAUGGCGACGAUAGAUGGGCGGCCGGCCCAGUAUGGGGUGACUCUGAAACAGCUCCGGGAGCUCAUGGAGCACCGGGGUCCAGAGAGCAUCGCAAAAGUCAACGCCCUUGGCGGUGUUCAGGAAAUAUGCAAAAAGUUGUACACCUCCCCUAGCGAAGGACUCAGCGGAUCCGUAGCAGACAUGCAACACAGACAGGACACGUUUGGUUCUAACAUGAUACCUCCAAAACCAGCAAAAACGUUUAUGCAAUUAGUCUGGGAGGCGUUACAGGAUGUAACACUUAUUAUUCUAGAAAUAGCGGCAUUGGUGUCGCUCGGUCUUAGUUUUUACCAGCCCACUGACGACGAAGCCAUCGGGCCAAAAGUUGAUGAUGCAGAAGGGCAACAUGGAUGGAUUGAGGGUUUGGCAAUCCUGAUUUCCGUUAUUGUAGUCGUAUUCGUAACAGCUUUCAACGACUAUAGCAAGGAAAGACAAUUUCGAGGUCUCCAGAGUCGAAUAGAAGGCGAACACAAGUUCUCUGUCAUUCGACAAGGGGAAGUCAAGCAAAUAUCUGUAUCGGACAUUGUCGUUGGUGACAUAUGUCAGGUAAAAUACGGAGAUUUACUUCCAGCUGAUGGUAUCCUGAUACAAAGUAACGACGUUAAAGUAGACGAGUCAAGUUUAACAGGAGAAUCAGAUCAUGUGAAGAAGGGGGAAUCGUUCGAUCCUAUGAUGCUGUCAGGUACCCACGUCAUGGAGGGAUCUGGUAAAAUGUUGGUAACCGCAGUCGGUGUGAACUCCCAGGCUGGUAUAAUUUUCACUCUGUUAGGAGCAGCAGUUAACCAGCAAGAGCAGGAGAUCAAACAGAUGAAAAAAGAAGCUAAAAAGCAGCGGAAGAAGAAGUCUGCACCAGGAGAGGAAGCUGGAGAAGUAACUGGAAACAGUCACGCACCUGCCAACGAGAAGCGUGAGCCGGCCGAAAAUCAUGAAGCCUCGUCUCAACCUCCUCCCGAACAUUCGAACAAGAAAGAGAAGAGCGUUCUUCAGGCGAAACUGACCAAACUUGCUAUUCAAAUUGGCUACGCAGGGUCGACAAUAGCCGUUCUCACAGUCGUCAUACUAGUGAUACAAUUUUGCAUAACGACAUUUGUGCAACAAGGAAAACAUUGGAAAAGUACGUAUGUCAACAACCUUGUGCAACACUUGAUCAUCGGUGUUACGGUACUGGUAGUCGCAGUGCCCGAAGGUCUUCCUCUGGCCGUUACUCUGUCGCUUGCUUACUCCGUCAAGAAAAUGAUGAAAGAUAACAAUUUGGUGCGACAUUUGGACGCCUGCGAGACAAUGGGUAACGCGACGGCGAUUUGCUCGGACAAAACUGGAACGCUGACGACCAACAGAAUGACCGUUGUUCAGUCCUACGUAUGCGAAAAGAUGUGCAAGACUACGCCAAACUUUAACGAUAUACCAAGCCACGUCGGCAACUUGCUUGUUCAAGCGAUAUCUGUGAACUCGGCUUACACAUCUAGGAUAAUGCCGGCUCAGGAUCCUACCGAGUUGGCGAUGCAAGUCGGUAACAAGACCGAAUGUGCCUUACUCGGAUUCGUUACCGCCCUCGGCAAGAGCUAUCAGACUAUACGUGAUGAUAUUCCCGAAGAGACAUUCACUAGGGUUUACACUUUCAACAGCGUGAGGAAAAGCAUGUCAACUGUUAUUCCCAGGCAGGGCGGCGGAUAUCGCCUCUUUACCAAGGGUGCUUCCGAGAUCAUCAUGAAGAAAUGUGCCUUUAUCUACGGUCGCGACGGGCACCUUGAGAAAUUCACUCGAGAGAUGCAAGAACGUUUGGUAAAGAACGUAAUCGAGCCAAUGGCUUGCGACGGUCUUCGUACAAUCUCCAUAGCUUACCGGGACUUUGUGCCGGGUAAAGCGGAGAUAAAUCAAGUCCACAUCGACAACGACCCAGACUGGGACAACGAGGAGAACAUCGUCAACAAUCUGACGUGCCUCUGCAUAGUCGGCAUCGAAGAUCCGGUCCGUCCCGAAGUACCUGACGCCAUCAGGAGGUGUCAGAAGGCCGGUAUCACGGUCAGGAUGGUCACCGGCGACAACAUAAACACGGCGAGAUCGAUCGCUCUCAAGUGUGGCAUCCUCAAGCCAAACGAGGACUUCCUGAUCCUGGAAGGAAAGGAGUUCAACAGAAGGAUCAGGGACAGCAACGGCGAGGUGCGCCAGCAUCUGCUCGACAAAGUUUGGCCGAAACUUAGGGUACUCGCGCGGUCGUCGCCGACGGAUAAAUACACCCUGGUCAAGGGUAUCAUUGACAGUAAAAAUACCGAGAGCCGCGAAGUCGUUGCCGUUACCGGCGACGGAACGAACGACGGACCGGCCCUGAAAAAGGCGGACGUCGGUUUUGCCAUGGGCAUCGCCGGCACGGACGUCGCCAAAGAAGCGUCAGAUAUCAUCCUUACGGAUGACAACUUCUCCUCAAUCGUUAAGGCCGUUAUGUGGGGCAGAAACGUGUAUGACAGUAUAGCAAAGUUCUUGCAAUUUCAGCUGACGGUUAACGUUGUUGCUGUUAUUGUAGCAUUCAUCGGUGCUUGUGCCGUUCAAGACUCACCUCUAAGAGCUGUUCAAAUGUUAUGGGUCAAUCUGAUCAUGGACACUUUGGCUUCCCUAGCCCUCGCCACUGAAAUGCCGACGCCUGAUCUUCUCCUUCGAAAGCCUUACGGCAGAACGAAGCCUUUGAUAUCGAGAACUAUGAUGAAGAAUAUACUUGGUCAAGCCAUCUAUCAGUUGGUCGUUAUUUUUACACUGCUAUUCGUUGGUGACAAGAUGCUCGAUAUACCGUCCGGUCAAGACCCGAUCAGGUCUGGCGGACAACCCACUCAGCACUUCACUGUGAUCUUCAAUACAUUCGUAAUGAUGACACUGUUCAAUGAAAUGAACGCAAGAAAAAUACACGGACAGCGAAACAUUUUCGAAGGACUAUUCACCAACCCGAUAUUCUACGGAAUAUGGAUCGGCACUGCUUUGGCGCAAGUAGUCAUUGUUCAGUACGGAAAGAUGGCCUUCCACACGAAGGCUCUUACCCUGGAACAGUGGAUGUGGUGUCUCUUUUUUGGGGUUGGUACUUUGAUAUGGGGUCAGCUAGUCACGACGAUUCCAACUCGCAAGAUACCCAAGAUACUUUCAUGGGGCCGCGGCCAGCCUGACGAUAUGGAUACGAUCAAUCUAGGAGACGAGAAAUUCGACCCUGACUCGGAUAAAAAGCCACGCGCCGGACAAAUUCUGUGGAUACGUGGUCUAACGCGGCUACAGACUCAGACGAGCAAUAGAACUCUGGUGCAGAAUGUAUCUGUGACAGGCAGAUCUCCUUCUCAGGAUUACCAUAUGCCAGCGGAACCCAUUCGAGAGACUGAGGUUUAACAGGGCGGCAGUCUCUUGCCAGUCGCCACACUAUUCCUGUCGGAGUACAAACAACGUGGCGAGUCGAGUGGUGGCCAAUC